Molecule: unclassified non-coding RNA, 329 nt
Filed under: soil metagenome
Description: partial contains 5.8S ribosomal RNA, internal transcribed spacer 2, and large subunit ribosomal RNA
Rfam family: 5.8S ribosomal RNA (bases 1-120)
Source: RNAcentral
GAUGAAGAACGUAGCGAAAUGCGAUAAGUAAUGUGAAUUGCAGAAUUCAGUGAAUCAUCGAAUCUUUGAACGCACAUUGCGCCCCCUGGUAUUCCGGGGGGCAUGCCUGUCCGAGCGUCAUUACAACCCUCAAGCUCAGCUUGGUGUUGGGCCCCGCCGCCCCGGCGGGCCCUAAAGUCAGUGGCGGUGCCGUCCGGCUCCGAGCGUAGUAAUUCUUCUCGCUCUGGAGGUCCGGUCGUGUGCUCGCCAGCAACCCCCAAUUUUUUUCAGGUUGACCUCGGAUCAGUUAGGGAUACCCGCUGAACUUAAGCAUAUCAAUAAGCGGAGGA